AACGAACGCUGGCGGCGUGCUUAACACAUGCAAGUCGAACGCGAAAGUUUUCUUCGGAAGACGAGUAGAGUGGCGCACGGGUGAGUAACGCGUAAGUAAUCUGCCCUGGUAUCUGGGAUAACCCACCGAAAGGUGUGCUAAUACCGGAUACGCUGAGCAAUCAGGAAAGGUGGCCUCUUCAUGAAAGCUACUGUACCAGGAGGAGCUUGCGUACCAUUAGCUAGUUGGUAGGGUAAUGGCCUACCAAGGCAACGAUGGUUAGCGGGUCUGAGAGGAUGAUCCGCCACACUGGAACUGAAACACGGUCCAGACUCCUACGGGAGGCAGCAGUAGGGAAUCUUCCGCAAUGGGCAAAGCCUGACGGAGCAACGCCGCGUGAGUGAUGAAGGUCUUCGGAUCGUAAAACUCUGUUAUUAGGGAAGAACAUAUGUGUAAGUAACUGUGCACAUCUUGACGGUACCUAAUCAGAAAGCCACGGCUAACUACGUGCCAGCAGCCGCC
RNAcentral lists this ribosomal RNA (501 nucleotides) under uncultured bacterium. RNAcentral describes it as "bacterial SSU rRNA". It matches the Rfam family "Bacterial small subunit ribosomal RNA", at positions 29 to 519 of the family's 1533-position model. The record is from RNAcentral.